GACGAACGCUGGCGGCGUGCUUAACACAUGCAAGUCGAACGGAAAGGCCCUGCUUUUGUGGGGUGCUCGAGUGGCGAACGGGUGAGUAACACGUGAGUAACCUGCCCUUGACUUUGGGAUAACUUCAGGAAACUGGGGCUAAUACCGGAUAGGAGCUCCUGCUGCAUGGUGGGGGUUGGAGAGUUUCGGCGGUUGGGGAUGGACUCGCGGCUUAUCAGCUUGUUGGUGGGGUAGUGGCUUACCAAGGCUUUGACGGGUAGCCGGCCUGAGAGGGUGACCGGCCACAUUGGGACUGAGAUACGGCCCAGACUCAUACGGGAGGCAGCAGUGGGGAAUAUUGCACAAUGGGCGGAAGCCUGAUGCAGCAACGCCGCGUGCGGGAUGACGGCCUUCGGGUUGUAAACCGCUUUCGCCUGUGACGAAGCGUGAGUGACGGUAAUGGGUAAAGAAGCACCGGCUAACUACGUG
This 468-nucleotide ribosomal RNA is filed under the name uncultured bacterium. Its description in RNAcentral is "partial 16S ribosomal RNA". It matches the Rfam family "Bacterial small subunit ribosomal RNA", at positions 28 to 507 of the family's 1533-position model. The record is from RNAcentral.